This 946-nucleotide long non-coding RNA is filed under the name Helianthus annuus (common sunflower). RNAcentral describes it as "hypothetical non coding rna". Lineage: Eukaryota; Viridiplantae; Streptophyta; Magnoliopsida; Asterales; Asteraceae. The record is from RNAcentral.
GAUGAGGUUGAAUUAUAUGAAUGGGUAGAACAACACAACCAUGGGUUUACGUCUCCUGAAAAUCUUGAUUUAUCGCUAAAGAAGAGGAAGCUUCGUAAUGCUAACAUUGGUCCCACGAAAUCCCACAAACUUCAGGUGGUCAUCAUAACGUACAGGGCACGGUUAUGGGCUAUAAAAAUUGUGGGAGAGAUAUUCGAGAUUUCAUCGGCGAAAGAGACGCCCAAAUGUUAGUUGACAAAAUGAACGCAAGAUGCAAGAACAAAGAAAAUUAUACUUUUGAUACCCAGAUUGUUGAUACAGAACUCCAGUUGCUAUUUUGGUGUGAUAAUGUUUCGAAAAUGAAUUACGAAGCAUUUGGGGAUGUUUUGGCUUUUGAUGCAACGUACCACACGAAUAUGUACGACAUGAUUUUUGUUCCAUUCACUAGCGUUGAUCAUCACAAAAAAUGCACGAUAUUUGGUGUUGGCUUGCUUCAUAACGAGACAAUCGAGUCAUACACAUGGCUUCUACAAAAAUUUCUUCAAGCUCAUAACGACAGACAACCUCUUUUGGUUCUAACCGAUCAAGAUUGUGCCAUGAAACAAGCAGUUAGCAACUUAUUCGACAAGUCGCAUCAUCGACUAUGUAUGUGGCAUAUAGUUCAAAAGAUACCAUCUAAGAUCAAGGGAGACAACUUGACAAAUAUCGAAAUAAAAGAGAAGUUUCACAAGCUUGUUUGGAACGCCUAUAUCAAACCUGAAACAUUUGAGAAAAGGUGGAAUUUAUUGAUCGCCGAAUAUGGGUUAGAGUCCCAUAAAUGGUUGACAGAGAUGUUUUCAAUUCGGGAGCAAUGGAUUCCAGGAUACUUUCGCGAAAUACCCAUGUGCACUUUAAUGAAAACGAUAUCCAGAUGCGAAAGUGCAAACCGUAUGUUUAAAGCUGACUCGAGCGCCCAUAAUACAUUAGU